Molecule: ribosomal RNA, 460 nt
Filed under: uncultured bacterium
Lineage: Bacteria
Description: partial 16S ribosomal RNA
Rfam family: Bacterial small subunit ribosomal RNA
Source: RNAcentral
CCUACGUGCGGCAGCAGUGAGGAAUAUUGGUCAAUGGACGAGAGUCUGAACCAGCCAAGUAGCGUGAAGGAUGACUGCCCUAUGGGUUAUAAACUUCUUUUAUAAAGGAAUAAAACGAGGCACGUGUGCCUUUUUGCAUGUACUUUAUGAAUAAGGAUCGGCUAACUCCGUUCCAGCAGCCGCGGUAAUACGGAGGAUCCGAGCGUUAUCCGGAUUUAUUGGGUUUAAAGGGAGCGUAGAUGGGUUGUUAAGUCAGUUGUGAAAGUUUGCGGCUCAACCGUAAAAUUGCAAUUGAUACUGGCAGUCUUGAGUACAGUUGAGGUAGGCGGAAUUCGUGGUGUAGCGGUGAAAUGCGUAGAUAUCACGAAGAACUCCGAUUGCGAAGGCAGCUUACUAAACUGCCACUGACAUUGAUGCUCGAAAGUGUGGGUAUCAAACAGGAUUAGAUACCCUAGUAGUC